Molecule: ribosomal RNA, 795 nt
Filed under: uncultured Bacteroidota bacterium
Lineage: Bacteria; Pseudomonadati; Bacteroidota
Description: bacterial SSU rRNA
Rfam family: Bacterial small subunit ribosomal RNA
Source: RNAcentral
ACGCGAAAGUCCCCUUCGGGGGACAAGUAGAGUGGCGCACGGGUGAGUAACACGUAGGUAAUCUACCUUCGGGUGGGGAAUAACCCCGGGAAACCGGGGCUAAUACCGCAUAAUGCAGCGGCACCUAAUGGUGACAGUUGUUAAAGCGGGGGAUCGCAAGAUCUCGCGCCUGAAGAGGAGCCUGCGGCGGAUUAGCUAGUUGGCAGGGUAACGGCCUACCAAGGCGACGAUCCGUAACCGGCCUGAGAGGGCGGUCGGUCACACUGACACUGACAUACGGGUCAGACUCCUACGGGAGGCAGCAGUCGGGAAUUUUGGGCAAUGGGCGAAAGCCUGACCCAGCAACGCCGCGUGAAGGAUGAAAUCCCUCGGGAUGUAAACUUCGCAAGAACGGGAAGAAUAGGUUUGUGCUAACACCACAAGCGAUGACGGUACUGUUUGUAAGCUCCGGCUAACUCCGUGCCAGCAGCCGCGGUAAUACGGGGGGAGCAAGCGUUGUUCGGAUUUACUGGGCGUAAAGGGCGCGUAGGCGGCCUCCGCAAGUCACUUGUGAAAUCUCCGGGCUUAACUCGGAAAGGUCAACUGAUACUGCGGGGCUAGAGUGCGGAAGGGGCAACUGGAAUUCUUGGUGUAGCGGUGAAAUGCGUAGAUAUCAAGAGGAACACCUGCGGCGAAGGCGGGUUGCUGGGCCGACACUGACGCUGAGGCGCGAAAGCUAGGGGGAGCGAACGGGAUUAGAUACCCCGGUAGUCCUAGCCUUAAACGAUGAAUGCUUGGUGUCUGGGGUUAUAUAGU